RNAcentral lists this long non-coding RNA (621 nucleotides) under Homo sapiens (human). RNAcentral describes it as "HSALNT0167106". The record is from RNAcentral. Lineage: Eukaryota; Metazoa; Chordata; Mammalia; Primates; Hominidae.
AUUUUUUUGUAUUUUUUGUAGAGAUGGAGUUUCGCCAUGUUGCCCAAGCUGGUCUCCAACUCCAGGACUAAAGCGAUCUGCCUGCCUCAGAUUCCCAAAGUGCUGAGAUUACAGGGGUGAGCCACCACACUUGGCUAAGUCCUCCAAUCUGUAAAUAUGAAUCUUGCCAGGCUGGAGUCCAGUGACAUGUUCUCAGCCCACUGCAACAUCCACCUCCCAAGUUCAAGCGAUUCUCGUGCCUGUCUCCCGAGUAGCUAGGACUAGAGACAUUUGCCAUCACGCCUGGCUAAUUUUUGUAUUUUUGGUAGAGACAGUGUUUUGCCAUGUUGGCCAGGUUGGUCUUGAAUUCCUGGCCUCAAGUAAUCUACUCGCCUCGGCCUCCCCAAGUACUGAAAUUACAGGUGUGAGCCACUGUGCCUGGCCUGAUCUGUAUGCUUUUUAUUUCCUUUUCUUGUAUUAUGGCACCGGUUUAGAUAUUCCAAUUUGAUUUUGUCAAAUGCUUUUUCUGCAUCAACUGAUAUGAUUAUGUGAUUCUUCUUCUUUAGUCUGUUAAUAGGGUAAAGUACAUUAGUUGAUUUUUGAAUAUUGGAUCAGCCUUUCAUCCUUGGAAUAAACUCCAAC